Prosopis cineraria is the source of this 2853-nucleotide RNA transcript. RefSeq lists it as uncharacterized. The record is from RefSeq and is a predicted model, not a curated record. Lineage: Eukaryota; Viridiplantae; Streptophyta; Magnoliopsida; Fabales; Fabaceae. The transcript is spliced from 11 exons.
UUACAAACACACAUGACAAUAUGUCACUGUUCAAUUUCAAAUGAUCACUCCUGCACAUGGCAAUUUCCCAUCAAAUUAUGAUAUAGAAAAAGCAACAGGUCGCAGAUGCUGAUAAGCAACAGUGAUUACAAGUAAAAUAAGGUCUAUUGCUGAUGAAAGUGAUGUAAGCACUCCAGUUGCAGUACUCAUUUCCGCUGUUGCAACAUUUUCCAUCUUCUGUCGUGAUAAAGAAGCUUCCCGAGCUCUGCCCCUUUUUCUACUAGGGGUUUAGCUGCAAGCAACCAUCGCCCGUCGCAUCUCCACAAUCUCCUUCUCUAACCUACUCUGUUCUUGCUUUGUUGGCCAACGUAUGGCUGCCUCUGACCUUAUGGCAUCAGCGAAGAGCAUCUUGACUUCCUCAACUCAAGGGCAUCAACAUUACCGUAGACAAUCACCACCUUAGCCCUUCCGCCCCCGCUGAUCCACUAUAAGAAUUUUCUAGGAAGGACGUGAGGAAGAUUCUGAGCGCAUUGCAGCUCGAGAAGCUCAAAGUCACACUGAGGAAAAUCCAGAGAGCUCCAUUUCUUCCUUUGAAUAUGUUGCAAUCUGUUGAAGGAUGCGAGGAUGAAGAUCAAGGCUUGGAGUUUGCCAAGAAGUUAGGUGACUCUGGAAACAUCAUCUUUUGGGGAAACAUGGUAUUUCUAUGGCUCAAGUAGGUAAUGGAUCAUGAUAAUCCUAAUUAUUGUAAUGAAUUUACCUUAAUCAAUGUUUCCUUCUUGUGUGUCUGGAUGAUACAAGAAAAAGUGGCAUCUUAUCGGAGGCGCUUGUUGCAAUUGUGGUUCCGAUUUCACUGCAAUAUGAUUUUUGUACAAAUGUCGCCGCCACGGCUAAGUUCUUUGCAGAUAACAGGAUGGUGAAGGCGGAUUUGGAGAGGUUUACACGGCCAUGCUUUCAAAUGGACAAGAAAUUCCGAUAACUUCAUGUUAUUAGUUCCAAAGAUGCACGUCACAAUUUAGAUAGGAUCAGAAGGCAUACAAGGCAAUCUUUAAAGUAUUAAACUUGUCAAGAUUUGUUAAUUACCAAAUAUCCAUAUUGCAGAUUCUGAAGUACAAAGGUUGUUAGUACAACUUCUAUGGGAAUUUAGCAAAACGAUGCUAUCUUUGUAUGCAUUUGCUUACCUUGGGGAAAAUUUAAAUGCUCGUCCUUUCUUGAUUACCUGAUUACCGCUUUCAGGGUUCGCAUGACAUGAGGUAAUUGCUGCAAGAACAAGAAUAUUGCAAUCCGCUGGCUGUUUUCUUUUUGGGUUCCCUGGAGUAGAUAUUUGGCAAUGCCUGGUGUCGGAUCCGGCAAACAUCGUGGUUCUGGUUUCCUGAGGGUGAUUGUGGUGCUGAUUCUGCAGGGUGUUGUUCUUCUGUUAUGGCUGACUUUGGCUUCUUCUACAAGCUCAAUCUCUUAGGCACAUUUCACUCUCGGUAUCAUUACUCCUCCUGCAAGCUCAAUCAGUUAGCACACAUUUGCUGAAAGGUCCUCUGAUUCUUUUGACUCCGACCACCGCUUCCGCCAAGAGACAAAUCCUCCAAACGCCGCUUUCUUUAUCUUAGAAAAUGGUUGCCACUCAUUGGGAACAUCCCCCAUCUCUCUUUUUCUUCCUGGGCUGCUCUAUUUUUCUACACUUUCAGCCAAUAUACAUGAUUUAUGUAUUUUGAAGACAUAUAUUAUCUUAAAGAGCUAAAGGCGUCAUCUUGAUCGUUUGAACCUAUGGAACAACCUGUGAACUUCGUCAUUUGGCCGCCAAGGGAUCAAGGAUUGAUGGUGAAUUAUGGCGAAGAGGAGGAGAAAUGCUAUAUCUUCUUUUGGAAGAAAGAGACAGAAUAAUCAACCUCGUACUGUAGAAGUUGCUGAGUUGCUGCCAUUGGCAUUGCUAGAGCAAGGAACCAAAGAGGCCACAGGAUCAGCUUUACAUCCAUGAAAAGGCAUAUAACAUGAUGGGACAUUUUUCUUAGGAGAGGAGGUAUAGACGGACGGAGAGAGCAUUGUGCAAUGUCUGUCACACCUCGUUACUAGAAGUGUAACCAACACAGAAUAUGAGAUACAUUCAUAUCUUUGCAGUGAAAGUUGUUACAUUUCAGCCCAUGGACCACCGAAGGAGAGAAGAAUUCCGCCCAGCACUGACAGCCUCAGAGCAGAGAUGGAAGGAAAUGAGAUGCAAUAUUUCUCCUUCACUGUGGCAUAUGGACGAGAGUGGAAAAGGAACAGACGGACGAGAGGGAGGAGGAGAGAAAGAACGAAGAAUGACAACCAAGAGGAGAGAAGGAAUGAAGAACGAUGGCGAGGAGGAGAGAAGGUUGAGAAUGCGUGAAGAUUUUGAAAUUUCUCGAUGCUCUGGAGCUUUAAUCGUAGAGGAUAGAAGAAAUAUUUAAGUAUUAGGAAAUUGAGAAUGUUACCAAAUAGAGCAUAAGGAAAAUUACAAAAAAGAACACAAUAAAAUUACGAAAAUGGCACAAAUUUUUUUAUAAAUUAAAACAAAAUAACACUAAACUUUUGCUUGAUAAAAUUUGAACUCUAAAUCUUUAAGAAAAUUACUAGCAUAAUUUUCACUAACCUACUACUCUUCAAUUAUUAUAAAAUUAGUUUAAAUAAAUGCCAAUUAAAAGAACUUUUUUUUUUGGAGUCAUUGCAAAUGUAGUCUGAAACUUCCUGAUUUUUUUUCUUUUAUUGCUUGACUUGUAUCCGGGCAGCAUGAAGAGCUAUUCCUAAAUCCUAACUUGUAGCUGGAUUUGAUUUUUCUUUCAUUCUUCAUUUGUCAUAUUGUGAAAGUUUUACAGCUGAUUUUUUUCGUCAUUGAUAUUUUAAAGCUCAGGUUUAUGCAUAUUA